Molecule: unclassified non-coding RNA, 403 nt
Filed under: soil metagenome
Description: partial contains 5.8S ribosomal RNA, internal transcribed spacer 2, and large subunit ribosomal RNA
Rfam family: 5.8S ribosomal RNA (bases 1-120)
Source: RNAcentral
GAUGAAGAACGUAGCGAAAUGCGAUAAGUAAUGUGAAUUGCAGAAUUCAGUGAAUCAUCGAAUCUUUGAACGCACCUUGCGCCCUUUGGACUUCUGGAGGGCAUGCCUGUUUGAGUAUCAUGAACACCUCAACUCCUUAUGGUCUUCCAUGAUGAGCUUGGACUUUGGGGGUUUUGCUGGCCUACAGUCAGCUCCUCUAAAAUAAAUCAGCUUACCGGUGUUUGGUGGGUAUCAUGGGUGUGAUAACUAUCUACGCUCGUGGUUUUCCACCAGGUAACCUUCAGCAGUGGAGGUUCACUGGAGCUCAUAGAUGUCUCUCCUCAGCGAGGACAGCCCUUUGAAUGUUUGAUCUCAAAUCAGGUAGGACUACCCGCUGAACUUAAGCAUAUCAAUAAGCGGAGGA